CCCUGUUUCACCCCCUCCCCCCCUCUUUUUUUACCGUCUUUAACCCUUGUAAUUCUUUAUUCUUCUUAUUCUCUUCUCUUCUCUUCUUUCUUAUGGAAUGAAUAGAAACUGUUGAGAUUAUACUUUCUUUCUCUUCUUGUAAGCGGGGAUUCCUCGUCUUUUCUUUGUGUUCUUUUCGGUGGGGUUCUUUUGUCGUAAAAAUUGCGGGCGAGCGAGACCGGCUUUUAGGGCGGAAAUUAAACAAGAGAUGGGGGUUGGCUAUCUCGGCGAAUGAUGGCGGAUUUCGAUGUGGGCUCUCGUUUGCCUGGUGGAAAAGAUGGUUUUUUUUUUCUUUUGAAAAAAGAGGGAUUUUUUGAACUUUUUUUUGGAGUUAGGUCUUUGACCUUGGUCUUGAAUUCCGUUGGAGAUUGGUGUAGGUUUUUGUCUUUCCUUUUGAAAAUAUUUCGAGGUAGUUGAUUGCGGAAGGGAUAGAGGGAAUUUUGAUGAUCUUGUCCCAUCUAUUCUAUUCUUUUGUCGGUUUUUACCUCCAAAAAAGAAGGGCGUUUUCCGCAAAAAAAGGAGAGAUUUUUUGCCCCAUUUUAUUGGAUUUUGUUUCCGUGUUUUGUGGUUGAUGGGAUUUUUGAGCAUGAUGGGCAAUUCCUUUGGGUGCUCGGCAUCCGGGGAGCGGCUGGUCUCGGCAGCAAGAGAUGGCGACCUUCAAGAAGCCAAGGCUCUCUUGGAGUACAAUCCCCGGCUUGCCAGGUAUUCCACCUUUGGCGUCCGGAACUCGCCGCUCCAUUACUCCGCUGCACAGGGUCACCAUGAGAUUGUCUCUCUGUUGCUUGAAUCUGGUGUCGAUAUUAAUCUCCGGAACAUCCGAGGGCAGACUGCUUUAAUGCAAGCUUGUCAAUAUGGUCACUGGGAGGUUGUUCAGACUCUAAUGCUUUUCAAAGCCAAUAUUCACAGAACGGAUUAUCUCAAUGGUGGAACGGCUCUCCACUUUGCAGCUCUAAAUGGUCACACUCGAUGCAUUCGUCUUCUUCUUGCUGAUUAUGUGCCAAGCAUAGAUGGCUUUUGGAAUAUGAUGAGGAAACAAACCCAAGAAGUUUCUAUUGCAGAUUUUGAUGUGGGUGCUCUAUCUAAGAUAGUUAAUAGAAAGGCAGAUGGAGGCAUUACAGCUCUUCAUAUGGCUGCACUAAAUGGGCACACUGAGAGCGUGCAGUUACUAUUGGACUUGGGAGCUUCUGUUACUGAAGUCACAGUGGAAGAUGGGACGACUAUAGACUUGAUAGGUGCAGGAAGCACACCCCUUCAUUAUGCUGCUUGUGGUGGAAAUGCAGCUUGUUGUCAGGUUCUUAUCGCCAGAGGUGCCAGCAUAACUGCUGAAAAUGCUAAUGGUUGGACUCCUUUGAUGGUAGCUCGAUCAUGGCAUCGGAAUUGGCUCGAGGGUAUUCUAAAUAAGCAACCGGAAAGCCGAAGAAUGUGGAUGGAGAAAUAAGAACCAGUCACCUGCAUGUAUUGAUCCAUGUGUUGUUUGCUUGGAAAGAAAAUGCACAGUAGCUGCAGAAGGUUGUGGUCAUGAGUUCUGCACUAGGUGUGCUCUGUACUUGUGCUCCACCAAUAGCACUUCAACAAUCGCUGCAGGCCCACCUGGCUCUAUACCCUGCCCUCUCUGCCGGCAUGCAAUUGUCUCGUUUUCCAAACUCUCGGGCACAAGCCCCAUCAGGGAGUUGCCAAGGACGAGCCUUUCCUUGUCUUUAUGUGCUACUUGUCCAGCCGUGGGCUCAGGUUCUACCACUUCGAUGACUACUCGGUUGUGCAAGCCUGACUUCCACUGUACUCGGAUCCCGCCACUGGGUUCAUCAUCCUUUCGGUCUCUCAGCUGCCAGAGGUUCCCUUCGAUGAAGCUGAAUUCGACUCUUUGCAUGGGAGCUCCAGAAACAAGCCCGUGCCUUAUCAGGUGCUCGAGAUCAGGAUCACUAGGGCGGUCAGCUUCUCAAGGGGAGAGCAGCAGAAGGUCAUGGCUUCUUGCCCUUAACCAAAUUGUUACUACUGGAAGCAGUUAGAAUUCUGCAAUCCAUCCUCUUCUUUUUUGUUUCUCUGUUUGUUUGUUUUUCCUCGUUUUUUUUUUUUAGGUGUGCUUGCCUUGCGAAUCCUUUUUCAUGAAAAUGCCAAUCAACCCUGCUGCUGAUAUUAGUGACGUGUCCCCUGUGUCGUAAAUAGAGGAUUAUGUGCUGUUGUUGUGUUGCAUGUGCAGGAUCAUCAUGGCGGCUAUUGUUUUCUAUUCGUUUUUGUUCUUUGAUUUUGUAAAUGAAGAAGGAUAUUGCUCAUGCUUUUUUUUUUUUUAAAAUGCAAGUUUGAAAGGUGA
Elaeis guineensis (African oil palm) is the source of this 2347-nucleotide non-coding RNA. NCBI's taxonomy places the organism in Eukaryota, Viridiplantae, Streptophyta, Magnoliopsida, Arecales, Arecaceae. The record is from RefSeq and is a predicted model, not a curated record.